Molecule: ribosomal RNA, 1584 nt
Filed under: Niastella soli
Lineage: Bacteria; Pseudomonadati; Bacteroidota; Chitinophagia; Chitinophagales; Chitinophagaceae
Description: Niastella sp. MAH-29 partial 23S ribosomal RNA
Rfam family: Bacterial large subunit ribosomal RNA
Source: RNAcentral
UAGCGAUAAAAGUAGUGAAAAACUACUUCACCGUAAGACUAAGGGUUCCUGAUCAACGUUAAUCGGAUCAGGGUUAGUCGGGUCCUUAGGCAAACCCGAAAGGGGCAGCUGAUGGAAAACUGGUUAAUAUUCCAGUACUCGCUUUAAUUUCGAUGGAGUGACGCAGAAGUGAACAGCACACGAGGGAAACGGAAUUCCCCGUUUAAGCACGUAGCUAUAGGGAUUGCAGGCAAAUCCGCAGUUCUUGGCGAAAUGUGAAAGUAUAUGAGGGCUUCGGCCUGAUUGAGUGCUCUAAUAGCUGCCGAGAAAAACUUCUAAGGUUAGGUUAAAGCGACCCGUACCGCAAACCGACACAGGUAGUCGAGGCGAAUAGCCUAAGGUGCUCGGGUGAGCCGUGGAGAAGGAACUAGGCAAAUUGUGGCUGUAACUUCGGGAUAAAGCCAGCCGACGUAAGUCGGCCUCAGUAAAAUGGUUCAACCAACUGUUUAACAAAAACACAGGGCCCUGCAAAAUCGUAAGAUGACGUAUAGAGCCUGAUACCUGCCCGGUGCUGGAAGGUUAAGGAAGGGUGUUCGGCGCAAGCCAAAGCUCCUGACUGAAGCCCCAGUAAACGGCGGCCGUAACUAUAACGGUCCUAAGGUAGCGAAAUUCCUUGUCGGGUAAGUUCCGACCUGCACGAAUGGUCUAAUGAGUUGAACACUGUCUCCUCCACGAGCCCGGCGAAAUUGUAGUAUCGGUGAAGAUGCCGGUUACCCGUCACGGGACGGAAAGACCCCGUGAACCUUCACUACAACUUUGCAUUGAUUUUGAGCAACCGAUGUGUAGAAUAGUUGGGACGCUAUGAAGCGGUGCCGCCAGGUGCCGUGAAGCGGUCGUUGAAAUACCAACCUUCGUUUGCUUAGAGUCUAAUCCCUGACGGGAAACAGUGCAUGGUGGGUAGUUUGACUGGGGUGGUCGCCUCCUAAAAAGUAACGGAGGCUUGCAAAGGUUCCCUCAGUACGGUUGGUAAUCGUACGCAGAGCGCAUUAGUAUAAGGGAGCUUGACUGUGAGACAGACAAGUCUAGCAGGGUCGAAAGACGGCUAAAGUGAUCCGGUGGUUCUGCAUGGAAGGGCCAUCGCUCAAAGGAUAAAAGGUACUCCGGGGAUAACAGGCUGAUCUUUCCCAAGAGCUCAUAUCGACGGAAAGGUUUGGCACCUCGAUGUCGGUUCGUCACAUCCUGGGGCUGGAGAAGGUCCCAAGGGUUCGGCUGUUCGCCGAUUAAAGUGGCACGUGAACUGGGUUCAGAACGUCGCAAGACAGUUCGGUCCCUAUCUGUGAUGGGCGUUAGAAUAUUGAGUGGACAUGACCUUAGUACGAGAGGACCGGGUCGUACACACCGCUGGUGUAUCUGUUGUGCCGCCAGGUGCAAUGCAGAGUAGCUAUGUGUGGCCAGGAUAAACGCUGAAAGCAUCUAAGCGUGAAACCUUCCACGAGAUGAGUAUUCUUUUAAGGGUCGUCAAAGACUAUGACGUUGAUAGGCUACAGAUGUAAAGAUGGAAACAUCAAAGUCGAGUAGUACUAAUUACCCGUAUGCUUUAAUUUU